This 378-nucleotide ribosomal RNA is filed under the name uncultured eukaryote. Its description in RNAcentral is "SSU rRNA". It matches the Rfam family "Eukaryotic small subunit ribosomal RNA", at positions 587 to 972 of the family's 1831-position model. The record is from RNAcentral.
AGCUCCAAUAGCGUAUAUUUAAGUUGUUGCAGUUAAAAAGCUCGUAGUUGGAUUUCGGGCGGGGCGGCGCGGUCCGCCUCUGGUGUGCACUGCGCUGUCCCGCCUUCCUGCCGGGGACGGGCUCCUGGGCUUCACUGUCCGGGACUCGGAGUCGGCGAGGUUACUUUGAGUAAAUUAGAGUGUUCAAAGCAGGCCUACGCUCUGAAUACAUUAGCAUGGAAUAACGCGAUAGGACUCUGGCCUAUCUCGUUGGUCUGUGGGACCGGAGUAAUGAUUAAGAGGGACAGUCGGGGGCAUUCGUAUUCCGCUGCUAGAGGUGAAAUUCUUGGAUUUGCGGAAGACGAACUACUGCGAAAGCAUUUGCCAAGGAUGUUUUCA